Molecule: ribosomal RNA, 482 nt
Filed under: uncultured bacterium
Lineage: Bacteria
Description: bacterial SSU rRNA
Rfam family: Bacterial small subunit ribosomal RNA
Source: RNAcentral
GACGAACGCUGGCGGCGUGCUUAACACAUGCAAGUCGAGCGGAAAGGCUCCUUCGGGGGUACUCGAGCGGCGAACGGGUGAGUAACACGUGAGUAAUCUGCCCUCCACUUUGGGAUAGCCACCGGAAACGGUGAUUAAUACCGGAUAUGACCUGAUGCCGCAUGGUGUUGGGUGGAAAGUUUUUCGGUGGGGGAUGUGCUCGCGGCCUAUCAGCUUGAUGGUGGGGUAAUGGCCUACCAUGGCUUCGACGGGUAGCCGGCCUGAGAGGGUGACCGGCCACACUGGGACUGAGACACGGCCCAGACUCCUACGGGAGGCAGCAGUGGGGAAUAUUGGACAAUGGGCGGAAGCCUGAUCCAGCAACGCCGCGUGAGGGAUGACGGCCUUCGGGUUGUAAACCUCUUUCAGCACAGACGAAGCGAAAGUGACGGUAUGUGCAGAAGAAGCACCGGCCAACUACGUGCCAGCCGCCGCCGUAACAC